UCCCUGGUGGCUUAGAGGAUAAAGCGUCUCCCUGCAAUGCAGGAGAUCUAGGUUCGAUCCCUGGGUUGGGAA
Molecule: transfer RNA, 72 nt
Organism: Ovis aries (sheep)
Lineage: Eukaryota; Metazoa; Chordata; Mammalia; Artiodactyla; Bovidae
Rfam family: tRNA
About the family: Transfer RNA (tRNA) molecules are approximately 80 nucleotides in length. Their secondary structure includes four short double-helical elements and three loops (D, anti-codon, and T loops).
Source: Rfam